RNAcentral lists this ribosomal RNA (439 nucleotides) under uncultured bacterium. RNAcentral's name for it is "partial 16S ribosomal RNA". It matches the Rfam family "Bacterial small subunit ribosomal RNA", at positions 339 to 795 of the family's 1533-position model. The record is from RNAcentral.
CUACGGGUGGCUCCAGUGAGGAAUAUUGCACAAUGGGGGGAACCCUGAUGCAGCAACGCCGCGUGGAGGAUGACGCAUUUCGGUGUGUAAACUCCUUUUAUAUGUCAAGAAAAUGACGGUAGCAUAUGAAUAAGCACCGGCUAACUCCGUGCCAGCAGCCGCGGUAAUACGGAGGGUGCAAGCGUUAUUCGGAAUCACUGGGCGUAAAGGACGCGUAGGCGGGUUGGAAAGUCAGGUGUGAAAACCUACAGCUUAACUGUAGAACUGCACUUGAAACUUCUAAUCUAGAGUAUGGGAGGGGGAGAUGGAAUAAGGGGUGUAGGGGUAAAAUCCGUAGAUAUCAGUAGGAAUACCUAAAGCGAAGGCGAUCUCCUGGAACAUUACUGACGCUAAGGCGUGAAAGCGUGGGGAGCAAACAGGAUUAGAUACCCGAGUAGUC